GUGAAAUUGUUGAAAGGGAAGCGCUUGCAACCAGACCUGCCUGCAGUUGCUCAUCCGGGCUUUUGCCCGGUGCACUCUUCUGCUGUCAGGCCAGCAUCAGUUCGGGCGGUCGGAUAAAGGCUUCGGGAAUGUAGCUCCUCUCGAGGAGUGUUAUAGCCCGUUGCGAAAUGCGGCCAGCCUGAACUGAGGUCCGCGCUUCGGCUAGGAUGCUGGCGUAAUGGUUGUAAGCGGCCCGUCUUGAAACACGGACCAAGGAGUCUAACAUCUGUGCGAGUGUUUGGGUGUCAAACCCGUACGCGUAAUGAAAGUGAACGGAGGCGGGAACCCCUCGGGGUGCACCGCCGACCGAUCCUGAUGUCUUCGGAUGGAUUUGAGUAAGAGCAUAGCUGUUGGGACCCGAAAGAUGGUGAACUAUGCCUGAAUAGGGUGAAGCCAGAGGAAACUCUGGUGGAGGCUCGCAGCGGUUCUGACGUGCAAAUCGAUCGUCAAAUUUGGGCAUAGGGGCGAAGGACUAAUCGAACUAUCUAGUAGCUGGUUCCUGCCGAAGUUUCCCUCAGGAUAGCAGUAACGUUUUCAGUUUUAUGAGGUAAAGCGAAUGAUUAGAGGCCUGGGGGUUGAAACAACCUUCACCUAUUCUCAAACUUUAAAUAUGUAAGAAGUCCUUGUUGCUUAGUUGAACGU
Molecule: ribosomal RNA, 681 nt
Filed under: uncultured Ascomycota
Lineage: Eukaryota; Fungi; Ascomycota
Description: LSU rRNA
Rfam family: Eukaryotic large subunit ribosomal RNA
Source: RNAcentral